CAAUAAAAUAUGUUCUAUAGGUUGCUGAGGCAUUAAUAGGGAAUAAGGUGAGAAUCCUUAACAGCCACGCUACUGUAAAAGCUACGAUACUCCGACAAGAUCACUGAAAUGAAAAUUUCGGGAAGAUGAGAGUAUCUGGUUUGAAGCUUUAAGUCAGGAGACCUGCCAUAGGACAAAAAUCAUA
Molecule: non-coding RNA, 184 nt
Filed under: Syntrophaceticus schinkii
Lineage: Bacteria; Bacillati; Bacillota; Clostridia; Thermoanaerobacterales; Thermoanaerobacterales Family III. Incertae Sedis
Source: RNAcentral